CCCUUAGAUGGUCUGCGCGGCACGCGCGCUGCAAUGAUGCAUCCAAAAAGUUUUCUGACCUUGUUGGGUACUUUCCAAAGUGCAUCGUGAUGGGAAGAGUUUACUGCAGUUUUUUAAUCUUGAACGAGGAGUUCCUCGUAAGUACAUGUCAUCAACCUGUGUUGAUUACGUCCCUGCCCUUUGUACACACCGCCCGUCGCUCCUACUGAUUGAGCGUCUCGGUGAAUUCUUUGAUUUUCUGUCGAUUCAGUUCACUGAUCCGACGGUGGAUAGUUGAAUGAACUUCGUCACGUAGAGGAAGGAGAAGUCGUAACA
Molecule: ribosomal RNA, 315 nt
Filed under: uncultured eukaryote
Lineage: Eukaryota
Description: partial 18S ribosomal RNA
Rfam family: Eukaryotic small subunit ribosomal RNA
Source: RNAcentral